RNAcentral lists this ribosomal RNA (425 nucleotides) under uncultured bacterium. RNAcentral describes it as "partial 16S ribosomal RNA". It matches the Rfam family "Bacterial small subunit ribosomal RNA", at positions 354 to 796 of the family's 1533-position model. The record is from RNAcentral.
GUGGGGAAUCUUAGACAAUGGGCGCAAGCCUGAUCUAGCCAUGCCGCGUGAGCGAUGAAGGCCUUAGGGUUGUAAAGCUCUUUCGUGGGGGAAGAUAAUGACUGUACCCCAAGAAGAAGCCCCGGCUAACUCCGUGCCAGCAGCCGCGGUAAUACGGAGGGGGCUAGCGUUGUUCGGAAUUACUGGGCGUAAAGCGCACGUAGGCGGACUGGAAAGUCAGGGGUGAAAUCCCGGGGCUCAACCCCGGAACUGCCUUUGAAACUCCCAGUCUUGAGUUCGAGGGAGGUGAGUGGAAUUCCGAGUGUAGAGGUGAAAUUCGUAGAUAUUCGGAGGAACACCAGUGGCGAAGGCGACUCACUGGCUCGAUACUGACGCUGAGGUGCGAAAGCGUGGGGAGCAAACAGGAUUAGAAACCCUUGUAGUCC